RNAcentral lists this ribosomal RNA (467 nucleotides) under uncultured bacterium. Its description in RNAcentral is "partial 16S ribosomal RNA". It matches the Rfam family "Bacterial small subunit ribosomal RNA", at positions 29 to 507 of the family's 1533-position model. The record is from RNAcentral.
ACGAACGCUGGCGGCGUGCUUAGCACAUGCAAGUCGAACGGAAAGGCCCUGCUUUUGUGGGGUGCUCAAGUGGCGAACGGGUGAGUAACACGUGAGUAACCUGCCCUUGACUUUGGGAUAACUUCAGGAAACUGGGGCUAAUACCGGAUAGGAGCUCCUGCUGCAUGGUGGGGGUUGGAAAGUUUCGGCGGUUGGGGAUGGACUCGCGGCUUAUCAGCUUGUUGGUGGGGUAGUGGCUUACCAAGGCUUUGACGGGUAGCCGGCCUGAGAGGGUGACCGGCCACAUUGGGACUGAGAUACGGCCCAGACUCCUACGGGAGGCAGCAGUGGGGAAUAUUGCACAAUGGGCGGAAGCCUGAUGCAGCAACGCCGCGUGCGGGAUGACGGCCUUCGGGUUGUAAACCGCUUUCGCCUGUGACGAAGCGUGAGUGACGGUAAUGGGUAAGGAAGCACCGGCUAACUACGUG